Long non-coding RNA from Juglans regia (Persian walnut), 1114 nucleotides. RefSeq lists it as uncharacterized. Lineage: Eukaryota; Viridiplantae; Streptophyta; Magnoliopsida; Fagales; Juglandaceae. The record is from RefSeq and is a predicted model, not a curated record. The transcript has 3 exons.
CCCCCCCUCUCUCUCUCUCUCUCUCGACUGCGAUUGUCAACUCUGGUGCGAUUGUCGCCGCCUCAUCGACGCCGUGCCGCCGGCUUCUCGCUGCCUCGCCAACACCGUUCGGUGUAUCCUUGAUCUUCCAGGCAAGUGCAGUGGCCUGAAUACCUUUGGUCUUAUGUGGUGCAAUGGUAAGAUAAGGGUUCUAAGAAACUUUCAUGACCUUUAGUUCAUUUGUUGUGAAAGAAAUUAUUUGGACUCGCCCGUGCUCAGUAUGAAAAUCUAGCUAUUUCUGUUGGAAUCUUAUGUGGACCAAUCUUGCUGUUCUUGACAUCAAUCAAAGGAGACCUAGAAGUGGCACUAAACUUCCCUCAUAUAUUCUCCCCUGGCAUUCAGGUGCAUGUUAUAUCACAGAAAGCAUGUUAUCCUUAGAUGUUUUCAGGUGCAUUAUCGACAACAUAUCAUGGUUUUAGUUGCCUCAUUCCUGUUUUGUGGUAGUUCUGUGGCAUAUGGUUUGUAUGGAUUAUCAAUUAGCUAUCUUACCUAUUGAUCUAAUAUCCAGUCCUCUGCUAUAAAGAUCCAAAUCUGGUAUAUCUGAGUGAGAUUUGUAAUUUUAUUGAUGAUAAAUUCAUAGGGAGCACUUGUAAUAUGAAACUGGAGUAGGAGUUCUUGGAUCAGUACUAUUUAUCAAUAAUUCGACUUUUGAUUAUUGGUGGUACCUGUAUCUCAUUUGCUUUCUUCCAAAACUCAUCAUUUACUGUGGGGCUAGAAGUCUCACCCUUCGAUUUCUGUCUCUCAUUUGUGAUAAAAAAAUGUUGCACUUUGAACUGUAAACUUCCCAUCCUUUGUGAAAUUCCAAUAUCUGGUUUUCUUCAACCCCCAUCUUACGUAUUAAGUUGUUGCAGCUUGUUAAAUUAGUUGUAGUAUUCAUCAAUUAUAAGCUCACAGACUUUUGAAUAUUAUAUGUUGAGAAUCUUAACUAAGGAUAUGAAGUCAGUAAGAAGUGAUGAUGGAUUGGGUUAUCUUUCUUGAUGGAAGGAAAUAAAGCUUAGAAACUUGUAAAACAAAAGUUUUGUCAUGUCUAUAUAAAAGUUUUUGUUUCUCCAUCAGUUACAACAAAUGUGCAAAC